UCAGACCCAUCCUUCAUCAUAUCUGUUUCAGCAACAGCAGAGACAUCACUCAAUCUUACAUCCCCGUCCAGUUCAACUGAGUUAGCAGGUAAGACACUGUACCCCUCUCCAACCACCUCAUCUCUUAGGUCUUCUUUCUUGCCCAGCUGGAUGUCCACAUCAUCAUCUUCUUCCUCAUGUCUACUGUUUAUGUCUGUCAGUUGGUCAUCUGCAAGUGCCUCUGAAAUUUUCUUCCCUGCGUUCUUCCAUUCAGUGGAUUGAGAUGUACACUGAUCAGACGUUAAUUUAGAAAUUAUUAUUUGUUCCUCACAAACCCUCA
Molecule: unclassified non-coding RNA, 319 nt
Filed under: uncultured bacterium
Lineage: Bacteria
Description: contains 16S-23S intergenic spacer region
Source: RNAcentral